This 429-nucleotide ribosomal RNA is filed under the name Fusobacteriota bacterium. RNAcentral's name for it is "Fusobacteria bacterium partial 16S ribosomal RNA". It matches the Rfam family "Bacterial small subunit ribosomal RNA", at positions 355 to 776 of the family's 1533-position model. The record is from RNAcentral. Lineage: Bacteria; Fusobacteriati; Fusobacteriota.
UGGGGAAUAUUGCGCAAUGGGCGAAAGCCUGACGCAGCGACGCCGCGUGAGGGAUGAAGGUUUUCGGAUCGUAAACCUCUGUCAGAAGGGAAGAAACCGCACUGUGCUAAUCAGCAGUGCCUUGACGGUACCUUCAAAGGAAGCACCGGCUAACUCCGUGCCAGCAGCCGCGGUAAUACGGAGGGUGCAAGCGUUAAUCGGAAUUACUGGGCGUAAAGCGCACGUAGGCUGCUUUGUAAGUCAGGGGUGAAAUCCCACGGCUCAACCGUGGAACUGCCUUUGAUACUGCUUAGCUUGAAUCCGGGAGAUGGUGGCGGAAUUCCAGGUGUAUGAGUGAAAUCCGUGGAUAUCUGGAGGAACAUCAGUGGCGAAGGCGGCCACCUGGACCGGUAUUGACGCUGAGGUGCGAAAGCGUGGGGAGCAAACAGG